RNAcentral lists this ribosomal RNA (647 nucleotides) under uncultured bacterium. Its description in RNAcentral is "bacterial SSU rRNA". It matches the Rfam family "Bacterial small subunit ribosomal RNA", at positions 50 to 715 of the family's 1533-position model. The record is from RNAcentral.
AGCAUUUGCGACAGAUUUCUUCGGGAUGAAGUUGCUUAUGACUGAGUGGCGGACGGGUGAGUAACGCGUGGGUAACCUGCCUUGUACUGGGGGAUAGCAGCUGGAAACGGCUGGUAAUACCGCAUAAGCGCACAAUGUUGCAUGACAUGGUGUGAAAAACUCCGGUGGUAUAAGAUGGACCCGCGUCUGAUUAGCUAGUUGGUGAGAUAACAGCCCACCAAGGCGACGAUCAGUAGCCGACCUGAGAGGGUGACCGGCCACAUUGGGACUGAGACACGGCCCAGACUCCUACGGGAGGCAGCAGUGGGGAAUAUUGCACAAUGGAGGAAACUCUGAUGCAGCGACGCCGCGUGAGUGAAGAAGUAAUUCGUUAUGUAAAGCUCUAUCAGCAGGGAAGAUAGUGACGGUACCUGACUAAGAAGCUCCGGCUAAAUACGUGCCAGCAGCCGCGGUAAUACGUAUGGAGCAAGCGUUAUCCGGAUUUACUGGGUGUAAAGGGAGUGUAGGUGGCCAUGCAAGUCAGAAGUGAAAAUCCGGGGCUCAACCCCGGAACUGCUUUUGAAACUGUAAGGCUGGAGUGCAGGAGGGGUGAGUGGAAUUCCUAGUGUAGCGGUGAAAUGCGUAGAUAUUAGGAGGAACACCAGUGG